RNAcentral lists this ribosomal RNA (181 nucleotides) under uncultured Sphingomonas sp. RNAcentral describes it as "partial 16S ribosomal RNA". It matches the Rfam family "Bacterial small subunit ribosomal RNA", at positions 338 to 535 of the family's 1533-position model. Lineage: Bacteria; Pseudomonadati; Pseudomonadota; Alphaproteobacteria; Sphingomonadales; Sphingomonadaceae. The record is from RNAcentral.
CCUACGGGAGGCAGCAGUGGGGAAUAUUGGACAAUGGGCGCAAGCCUGAUCCAGCAAUGCCGCGUGAGUGAUGAAAGGCUUCCGGUUCGUAAAGCUCUUUUUCCAGGGAUGAUAAUGACAGUACCUGGAGAAUAAGCUCCGGCUAACUCCGUGCCAGCAGCCGCGGUAAUACGGAAGGAGC